GUAACACUAACUGGAGGACCGAACCGACUAAUGUUGAAAAAUUAGCGGAUGACCUGUGGCUGGGGGUGAAAGGCCAAUCAAACCGGGAGAUAGCUGGUUCUCCCCGAAAGCUAUUUAGGUAGCGCCUCGUGAAUUCAUCUCCGGGGGUAGAGCACUGUUUCGGCUAGGGGGCCAUCCCGGCUUACCAACCCGAUGCAAACUGCGAAUACCGGAGAAUGUUAUCACGGGAGACACACGGCGGGUGCUAACGUCCGUCGUGAAGAGGGAAACAACCCAGACCGCCAGCUAAGGUCCCAAAGUCAUGGUUAAGUGGGAAACGAUGUGGGAAGGCCCAGACAGCCAGGAUGUUGGCUUAGAAGCAGCCAUCAUUUAAAGAAAGCGUAAUAGCUCACUGGUCGAGUCGGCCUGCGCGGAAGAUGUAACGGGGCUAAACCAUGCACCGAAGCUGCGGCAGCGACACUGUGUGUUGUUGGGUAGGGGAGCGUUCUGUAAGC
RNAcentral lists this ribosomal RNA (494 nucleotides) under Salmonella enterica subsp. enterica serovar Agona. RNAcentral describes it as "partial 23S ribosomal RNA". It matches the Rfam family "Bacterial large subunit ribosomal RNA", at positions 756 to 1248 of the family's 2925-position model. The record is from RNAcentral. Lineage: Bacteria; Pseudomonadati; Pseudomonadota; Gammaproteobacteria; Enterobacterales; Enterobacteriaceae.